Long non-coding RNA from Bactrocera dorsalis (oriental fruit fly), 684 nucleotides. RefSeq lists it as uncharacterized. The record is from RefSeq and is a predicted model, not a curated record. The transcript has 2 exons. Lineage: Eukaryota; Metazoa; Arthropoda; Insecta; Diptera; Tephritidae.
AAAAGCCUGCUUGUGGGCAACCAUGCGUCUCUCUGCUUCGUUCUAAAUUAUUAAAAUCACCAACGUUCGACUGUGUGAACUCAUUUCGUUGAAUUAUUAAUGAAAAAAAUCUAUUUACCAAUCAAAUUUAAUACUAAUAGUGCGUACACGCCAAUUUGUAGGUUGUUUUGAAGUUUAUUUGACAUUGGCGCAUUAUUUAUGGCUGGCUGCAUCAAUUUUCUCAUUACUAAUAGUUACUAAAAUGCAUAAUUGAUUAGGUGUACAACAGCAAAUAUAUUGCGGCUUGGCUAUUUAUACUGGCACACUAAAAUAUUCGAUUUUCAUAUACAGAUCUUGUCUCUUGUUAACCAGGAAGUCUGGAGUUCGACGGAUGGAUAAAAAGUCUAGAAUUAAAGGUGGGAUCCCUUCAGUUUCCAGAAGCAUUAAAUGUUUUGCUGUCAUUCUGUUCUACACAUUCGUUUUUGGCUAUUUAGUACCUAGUAUCGUUUAUGAAACAGUAAAAAGCUCAAUUUUUUGCUUUGCAUAAGUGUUUUGUUUUAUUUACGAAAUGAUUUAAAAAUAUAUUUUAAGUUAUUGUAUAAAAGUUAUUUUGUACGAUACAUAAUUGAAAAUUAUUGUAUUUUUGUUAUUACGAAUAAAUUUGCAAUAAAGGUUUGCGCCAAGCUGUUCACAAAGGAAAUAAAA